Molecule: long non-coding RNA, 204 nt
Filed under: Coffea arabica (coffee)
Lineage: Eukaryota; Viridiplantae; Streptophyta; Magnoliopsida; Gentianales; Rubiaceae
Description: long non-coding RNA (CARA_LNC005583)
Source: RNAcentral
UCCUUAAGGUUCACCUCUUGAGAUUCAAGGUUAGCUCCAAAGGUAUUCUCAUGUGAAAUAGAUAUUUUCUCAUUGAAACACAAUUGAGAUUCAUUAUUUUCAUCAAAAUGCAAUCCACUUUCACUUGCAACAUGCUUACCAUUCAUGCUAGGAUCAACUUGCAUAACAUUAGAGCAAAUAACUUCAUACAAAACAUAUAAUUGU